GAGGUGUGGACCUCUGGGGAACCUACCUGAAGAGACUGGCAUGAACUGUUAGGGGGCUCUAGGGAACCUGGAUGCUUGGACCUGCGUGAUCUGACAGAGCGAGGAAUGACAGGCAGGCAAGCCCAGCGAGGUACUGCAAGGCAGCAGCCUGAGGCUCAGGAGCAAAGUCUGGGAGGCAAGAACAGAGCUCAUAGCUAACUCCUUACAUAAUUACUGGUGCCUCUGAACUUUACAAAGACGCGGGAGAAGGAGCCCACUGGAAGCUGAUUCAGCUUAGACAGGAGGAGGUCUCUAUGCAGACUUGGCCAACACACAAAAACAGGAAGAUCUCAAGACCCAAUACCAGUUCUGGAGACCCUGGCUGCACAUCCAAUUUCUAAGGGUUCAAGUUAGCUGUGCACUGCAAGCAAGCAGUCUCUCACAAAUGGAAAGAGGCCACGACAACUAUACAUCCCAGAGAAACUAUGACACAGCUCAUUUCUCCUCCCUAGCAGGCACUCAUGCAAGCAAACACCCCUGCUGGCUGAUCUCGCACCCAUCCACAAGCCACUUGUCAUAAUUCAAAGACCCAAAACAAACAAGCCACCCCUGAGACCCAUUCUGGCUGCAAGCAGCACCCCAUUCCUGAGGGAAGGGCACUCUAUAUCGCACCCCCCCUCCUGGGAGGGGGUGUCUUUGGCAGAA
Molecule: long non-coding RNA, 684 nt
Filed under: Mus pahari (shrew mouse)
Lineage: Eukaryota; Metazoa; Chordata; Mammalia; Rodentia; Muridae
Description: predicted gene 27200 (MGP_PahariEiJ_G0003836.1)
Source: RNAcentral